GACGAACGCUGGCGGCAUGCCUAAUACAUGCAAGUCGAGCGAACAGAUGAAGUGCUUGCACUUCUGACGUUAGCGGCGAACGGGUGAGUAACACGUAAGGAAUCUACCUAUAAGCGGGGGAUAACAUUCGGAAACGGGUGCUAAUACCGCAUAAUAUCUUCUUCCGCAUGGAAGAAGAUUGAAAGACGGCUCUGCUGUCACUUAUAGAUGACCUUGCGGUGCAUUAGUUAGUUGGUGGGGUAAUGGCCUACCAAGACAAUGAUGCAUAGCCGACCUGAGAGGGUGAUCGGCCACAUGGGGACUGAGACACGGCCCAAACUCCUACGGGAGGCAGCAGUAGGGAAUCUUCCGCAAUGGGCGAAAGCCUGACGGAGCAAUGCCGCGUGAGUGAAGAAGGCCUUCGGGUCGUAAAACUCUGUUAUAAGAGAAGAACAAAUUGUAGAGUAACUGCUACAGUCUUGACGGUAUCUUAUCAGAAAGCCACGGCUAACUACGUGCCAGCCGCCGCUGUAA
Molecule: ribosomal RNA, 513 nt
Filed under: uncultured bacterium
Lineage: Bacteria
Description: partial 16S ribosomal RNA
Rfam family: Bacterial small subunit ribosomal RNA
Source: RNAcentral